AUUGAACGCUGGCGGCAGGCCUAACACAUGCAAGUCGAGCGGAUGAAGGGAGCUUGCUCCUGGAUUCAGCGGCGGACGGGUGAGUAAUGCCCAGGAAUCUGCCUGGUAGUGGGGGAUAACGUCCGGAAACGGGCGCUAAUACCGCAUACAUCCUGAGGGAGAAAGUGGGGGAUCUUCGGACCUCACGCUAUCAGAUGAGCCUAGGUCGGAUUAGCUAGUUGGUGGGGUAAAGGCCUACCAAGGCGACGAUCCGUAACUGGUCUGAGAGGAUGAUCAGUCACACUGGAACUGAGACACGGUCCAGACUCCUACGGGAGGCAGCAGUGGGGAAUAUCGGACAAUGGGCGAAAGCCUGAUCCAGCCAUGCCGCGUGUGUGAAGAAGGUCUUCGGAUUGUAAAGCACUUUAAGUUGGGAGGAAGGGCAGUAAGUUAAUACCUUGCUGUUUUGACGUUACCAACAGAAUAAGCACCGGCUAACUUCGUG
This 484-nucleotide ribosomal RNA is filed under the name uncultured bacterium. RNAcentral's name for it is "partial 16S ribosomal RNA". It matches the Rfam family "Bacterial small subunit ribosomal RNA", at positions 30 to 507 of the family's 1533-position model. The record is from RNAcentral.